GGAUGAACGUUGGCGGUGUGCCUAAUACAUGCAAGUCGAACGGAGUUAGUAGCAAUACUGGCUCAGUGGCGAACGGGUGAGUAACGCGUUGGUGAUCUGCCUUGAAGUGUGGAAUAACGUUUCGAAAGGAACGCUAAUACCGCAUGUGCUCUCGAUUUUCAGAAAGUUGAGAGUAAAGGAUUUAUUCGCUUCAAGAGGAGCCUGCGUCCCAUCAGCUGGUUGGUAGGGUAACGGCCUACCAAGGCUAUGACGGGUAGGGGACCUGAGAGGGUGGCCCCCCACAAUGGAACUGAAACACGGUCCAUACACCUACGGGAGGCAGCAGUGAGGAAUAUUGGUCAAUGGGCGCAAGCCUGAACCAGCCAUCCCGCGUGCAGGAAGACGGCGCUAUGCGUUGUAAACUGCUUUUCCAGGGAGAGAAACUUGCGCACGUGUUGCGCAAUUGACGGUACCCUGGGAAUAAGCAUCGGCUAACUCCGUGCCAGCAGCCGCGGUAAUACGGAGGAUGCGAGCGUUAUCCGGAUUCAUUGGGUUUAAAGGGUGCGUAGGCGGACUAUUAAGUCAGUGGUGAAAUCCUGCAGCUUAACUGCAGAACUGCCAUUGAUACUGAUAGCCUUGAGUUUGGUUAAGGUAGGCGGAAUGUGUAAUGUAGCGGUGAAAUGCUUAGAUAUUACACAGAACACCAAUUGCGUAGGCAGCUUACUGAGCCGACACUGACGCUGAGGCACGAAAGCGUGGGGAUCGAACAGGAUUAGAUACCCUGGUAGUCCACGCCGUAAACGAUGAUUACUCGCUGUUGGCGAUACACUGUCAGCGGCUAAGCAAAAGCAAUAAGUAAUCCACCUGGGGAGUACGGCCGCAAGGUUGAAACUCAAAGGAAUUGACGGGGGCCCGCACAAGCGGAGGAACAUGUGGUUUAAUUCGAUGAUACGCGAGGAACCUUACCUGGGCUUAAAUGUAGAGUGCAUUUUCUAGAGAUAGAAAUUCCCUUCGGGGCUUUCUGCAAGGUGCUGCAUGGUUGUCGUCAGCUCGUGCCGUGAGGUGUCGGGUUAAGUCCCAUAACGAGCGCAACCCUUAUCGUUAGUUGCCAUCUGGUAAAGCAGGGGACUCUAGCGAAACUGCCACCGUAAGGUGAGAGGAAGGUGGGGAUGACGUCAAAUCAGCACGGCCCUUAUGUCCAGGGCUACACACGUGUUACAAUGGUCGGUACAGAGGGCAGCUACCUGGUGACAGGAUGCUAAUCUCGAAAACCGGUCUCAGUUCGGAUCGAAGUCUGCAACUCGACUUCGUGAAGCUGGAUUCGCUAGUAAUCGCGCAUCAGCCAUGGCGCGGUGAAUACGUUCCCGGGCCU
Molecule: ribosomal RNA, 1351 nt
Filed under: uncultured bacterium
Lineage: Bacteria
Description: bacterial SSU rRNA
Rfam family: Bacterial small subunit ribosomal RNA
Source: RNAcentral